GGCAAAAGCCUAAAAUAAAAAAUACAACUUAAAAAUAUGAAACCUGUGGUAAUGAAUCCGGCCCAUUAAAAAAUUAGCAGAGAAGUCAGGGAGAAAAUCCUUGGAAACUAUUCAGGGAAGGCUUUUUGGACCCCUCCACCGAAGUGAUACCACAACAUCGACAAACCUUUCCAAGUAGCCCAAAGGCAAAACUCACUCCUCUAAUAACACUAUAUAGCACAACCAAAGCAAAACACAAGCC
Molecule: unclassified non-coding RNA, 241 nt
Filed under: Hevea brasiliensis (rubber tree)
Lineage: Eukaryota; Viridiplantae; Streptophyta; Magnoliopsida; Malpighiales; Euphorbiaceae
Source: RNAcentral